UACGUGUCGUCCACUAAGACGCCCACGGCGACUCUCGAUUUCGAAGGCACUGUGAUCGGAAUCAAACCGGCUCCAGUUGUGGCUUCGUUCUCCGGUCGUGGGCCGAAUGGGUUGAACCCGGAGAUUCUCAAGCCGGACCUGAUUGCCCCUGGAGUUAACAUUUUAGCUGCCUGGACAGACGCGGUGGGGCCCACUGGCCUGGAAACGGACAGUAGAAAAACGGAGUUCAAUAUAUUGUCUGGGACUUCCAUGGCGGCCCCACACGUGAGCGGAGCCGCGGCUUUGCUCAAGUCGGCACACCCGGAUUGGAGCCCAGCCGCCAUAAGAUCGGCUAUGAUGACCACAGCGAGCGUGACAGAUAAUCGAAACCAAACCAUGACUGAUGAGGCCACUGGAAAGGCCUCCACGGCUUAUGAUUUGGGUGCGGGUCAUUUGAAUCUGGGUCGGGCC
This 450-nucleotide long non-coding RNA is filed under the name Prunus persica (peach). RNAcentral's name for it is "long non-coding RNA (PPER_LNC008411)". The record is from RNAcentral. Lineage: Eukaryota; Viridiplantae; Streptophyta; Magnoliopsida; Rosales; Rosaceae.